Molecule: ribosomal RNA, 524 nt
Filed under: uncultured bacterium
Lineage: Bacteria
Description: partial 16S ribosomal RNA
Rfam family: Bacterial small subunit ribosomal RNA
Source: RNAcentral
GACGAACGCUGGCGGCGUGCCUAAUACAUGCAAGUCGAGCGCAGGAAAUCGACGGAACCCUUCGGGGGGAAGUCGACGGAAUGAGCGGCGGACGGGUGAGUAACACGUAAAGAACCUGCCCUCAGGUCUGGGAUAACCACGAGAAAUCGGGGCUAAUACCGGAUGGGUCAUCGGACCGCAUGGUCCGAGGAUGAAAGGCGCUUCGGCGUCGCCCGGGGAUGGCUUUGCGGUGCAUUAGCUAGUUGGUGGGGUAAUGGCCCACCAAGGCGACGAUGCAUAGCCGACCUGAGAGGGUGAUCGGCCACACUGGGACUGAGACACGGCCCAGACUCCUACGGGAGGCAGCAGUAGGGAAUCUUCCACAAUGGACGAAAGUCUGAUGGAGCAACGCCGCGUGAACGAUGAAGGCCUUCGGGUCGUAAAGUUCUGUUGUAAGGGAAGAACAAGUGCCGCAGGCAAUGGCGGCACCUUGACGGUACCUUGCGAGAAAGCCACGGCUAACUACGUGCCAGCAGCCGCCGUAA